UACGAAGGGGGCUAGCGUUGCUCGGAUUGACUGGGCGUAAAGGGCGCGUAGGCGGUUCGUACAGUCAGACGUGAAAUUCCUGGGCUCAACCUGGGGGCUGCGUUUGAUACGUGCGGACUUGAGUGCGGAAGAGGGUCGUGGAAUUCCCAGUGUAGAGGUGAAAUUCGUAGAUAUUGGGAAGAACACCGGUGGCGAAGGCGGCCCACUGGUCCGGUACUGACGCUGAGGUGCGAAAGCGUGGGGAGCAAACAGG
RNAcentral lists this ribosomal RNA (253 nucleotides) under uncultured bacterium. Its description in RNAcentral is "partial 16S ribosomal RNA". It matches the Rfam family "Bacterial small subunit ribosomal RNA", at positions 524 to 776 of the family's 1533-position model. The record is from RNAcentral.